This 485-nucleotide ribosomal RNA is filed under the name uncultured bacterium. RNAcentral describes it as "partial 16S ribosomal RNA". It matches the Rfam family "Bacterial small subunit ribosomal RNA", at positions 28 to 523 of the family's 1533-position model. The record is from RNAcentral.
GACGAACGCUGGCGGCGUGCUUAACACAUGCAAGUCGAACGGUGAAGGUGGAGCUUGCUCCGCCGGAUCAGUGGCGAACGGGAGAGUAACACGUGGGCAACCUGCCCCUCACUUCGGGAUAACUCCGGGAAACCGGGGCUAAUACCGGAUACGACCUCCUUGGGCAUCCUUGGUGGGGGAAAGUUUUUCGGUGAGGGAUGGGCCCGCGGCCUAUCAGCGUGUUGGUGAGGUAGUGGCUCACCAAGGCGACGACGGGUAGCCGGCCUGAGAGGGCGACCGGCCACACUGGGACUGAGACACGGCCCAGACUCCUACGGGAGGCAGCAGUGGGGAAUAUUGCGCAAUGGGCGAAAGCCUGACGCAGCAACGCCGCGUGCGGGAUGAAGGCCUUCGGGUUGUAAACCGCUUUCAGCAGGGAAGAAGCCGCAAGGUGACGGUACCUGCAGAAGAAGCACCGGCUAACUACGUGCCAGCCGCCGCCGUAA